GACGAACGCUGGCGGCAUGCCUAACACAUGCAAGUCGAACGAGAUCUUCGGGUCUAGUGGCGCACGGGUGCGUAACGCGUGGGAAUCUGCCCUUUGGUUCGGAAUAACAGUUGGAAACGACUGCUAAUACCGGAUGAUGACGUAAGUCCAAAGAUUUAUCGCCAGAGGAUGAGCCCGCGUAGGAUUAGCUAGUUGGUGUGGUAAAGGCGCACCAAGGCGACGAUCCUUAGCUGGUCUGAGAGGAUGAUCAGCCACACUGGGACUGAGACACGCCCAGACUCCUACGGGAGGCAGCAGUGGGGAAUAUUGGACAAUGGGCGAAAGCCUGAUCCAGCAAUGCCGCGUGAGUGAUGAAGGCCUUAGGGUUGUAAAGCUCUUUUACCCGGGAUGAUAAUGACAGUACCGGGAGAAUAAGCUCCGGCUAACUCCGUGCCAGCCGCCGCCGUAA
RNAcentral lists this ribosomal RNA (448 nucleotides) under uncultured bacterium. RNAcentral describes it as "partial 16S ribosomal RNA". It matches the Rfam family "Bacterial small subunit ribosomal RNA", at positions 28 to 523 of the family's 1533-position model. The record is from RNAcentral.